Molecule: ribosomal RNA, 277 nt
Filed under: uncultured prokaryote
Description: partial 16S ribosomal RNA
Rfam family: Bacterial small subunit ribosomal RNA
Source: RNAcentral
UACGUAGGGGGCUAGCGUUAUCCGGAAUUACUGGGCGUAAAGGGUGCGUAGGUGGUUUCUUAAGUCAGAGGUGAAAGGCUACGGCUCAACCGUAGUAAGCCUUUGAAACUGGGAAACUUGAGUGCAGGAGAGGAGAGUGGAAUUCCUAGUGUAGCGGUGAAAUGCGUAGAUAUUAGGAGGACCACCAGUUGCGAAGGCGGCUCUCUGGACUGUAACUGACGCUGAGGCACGAAAGCGUGGGGAUCAAACAGGAUUAGAUACCCUGGUAGUCCCUGAG